UUUCGCAAUGCCCGAAAGGGUGACGAAGCGACGCCGCGUGCGGGAAGAAGGCCUUCGGGUUGUAAACCGCUGUCGGGAGUUAAGAAAUGUAAGGAUGUUAAUAGCAUUCUUACUUGACUAAGGCUCCGGAGGAAGCCACGGCUAACUCUGUGCCAGCAGCCGCGGUAAUACAGAGGCGGCAAGCGUUGUUCGGAAUUAUUGAGCGUAAAGAGCACGUAGGCGGCCGUGCAAGUCGGUUGUGAAAGCCUUCCGCUUAACGGAAGAACAGCAGCCGAUACUGCAUGGCUUGAGUGCGGGAGGGGAGAGUGGAACUUCUGGUGGAGCGGUGAAAUGCGUAGAUAUCAGAAGGAACGCCGGCGGCGAAAGCGACUCUCUGGCCCGUAACUGACGCUGAGUGUGCGAAAGCUAGGGGAGCAAACGGGAUUAGAUACCCCGGUAGUCCUAGCCGUAAACGAUGGGCACUAAGUAGAGGGGUUUU
RNAcentral lists this ribosomal RNA (478 nucleotides) under uncultured Planctomycetales bacterium. RNAcentral describes it as "bacterial SSU rRNA". It matches the Rfam family "Bacterial small subunit ribosomal RNA", at positions 364 to 832 of the family's 1533-position model. The record is from RNAcentral. Lineage: Bacteria; Pseudomonadati; Planctomycetota; Planctomycetia; Planctomycetales.